CUGACCGCUGGCGGCGUGCCUAAUACAUGCAAGUCGAGCGAACGGACGAGAAGCUUGCUUCUCUGAUGUUAGCGGCGGACGGGUGAGUAACACGUGGAUAACCUACCUAUAAGACUGGGAUAACUUCGGGAAACCGGAGCUAAUACCGGAUAAUAUUUUGAACCGCAUGGUUCAAAAGUGAAAGACGGUCUUGCUGUCACUUAUAGAUGGAUCCGCGCUGCAUUAGCUAGUUGGUAAGGUAACGGCUUACCAAGGCAACGAUGCAUAGCCGACCUGAGAGGGUGAGUGGCCAAACUGGAACUGAGACACGGUCCCGACUCCUACGGGAGGCAGCAGUAGGGAAUCCUCCGGAAUGGGCGAAAGCCUGACGGAGCAACGCCGCGUGAGUGAUGAAGGUCUUCGGCUCGUAAAACUCUGUUAUUAGGGAAGAACAUAUGUGUAAGUAACUGUGCACAUCUUGACGGUACCUAAUCAGAAAGCCACGGCUAACUACGUG
This 496-nucleotide ribosomal RNA is filed under the name uncultured bacterium. RNAcentral describes it as "partial 16S ribosomal RNA". It matches the Rfam family "Bacterial small subunit ribosomal RNA", at positions 30 to 507 of the family's 1533-position model. The record is from RNAcentral.